RNAcentral lists this ribosomal RNA (497 nucleotides) under uncultured bacterium. Its description in RNAcentral is "partial 16S ribosomal RNA". It matches the Rfam family "Bacterial small subunit ribosomal RNA", at positions 28 to 507 of the family's 1533-position model. The record is from RNAcentral.
GAUGAACGCUGGCGGCGUGCCUAAUACAUGCCAGUCGAGCGAACAGACGAGGAGCUUGCUCCUCUGACGUUAGCGGCGGACGGGUGAGUAACACGUGGAUAACCUACCUAUAAGACUGGGAUAACUUCGGGAAACCGGAGCUAAUACCGGAUAAUAUAUUGAACCGCAUGGUUCAAUAGUGAAAGACGGUUUUGCUGUCACUUAUAGAUGGAUCCGCGCCGCAUUAGCUAGUUGGUAAGGUAACGGCUUACCAAGGCGACGAUGCUUAGCCGACCUGAGAGGGUGAUCGGCCACACUGGAACUGAGACACGGUCCAGACUCCUACGGGAGGCAGCAGUAGGGAAUCUUCCGCAAUGGGCGAAAGCCUGACGGAGCAACGCCGCGUGAGUGAUGAAGGUCUUCGGAUCGUAAAACUCUGUUAUUAGGGAAGAACAAAUGUGUAAGUAACUAUGCACGUCUUGACGGUACCUAAUCAGAAAGCCACGGCUAACUACGUG